GGGCCCGCACAAGCAGUGGAUUAUGUGGUUUAAUUCGAAGCAACGCGAAGAACCUUACCGGGGUUUGACAUCCAACUAACGAAGCAGAGAUGCAUUAGGUGCCCUUCGGGGAAAGUUGAGACAGGUGGUGCAUGGUUGUCGUCAGCUCGUGUCGUGAGAUGUUGGGUUAAGUCCCGCAACGAGCGCAACCCUUAUUGUUAGUUGCUACGCAAGAGCACUCUAGCGAGACUGCCGUUGACAAAACGGAGGAAGGUGGGGACGACGUCAAAUCAUCAUGCCCCUUAUACCCCGGGCUACACACGUAAUACAAUGGCGGUCAACAAAGGGAAGCAAAGCCGCGAGGCAGAGCAAAUCCCCAAAAGCCGUCUCAGUUCGGAUUGCAGGCUGCAACUCGCCUGCAUGAAGUCGGAAUUGCUAGUAAUCGCGGAUCAGCACGCCGCGGUGAAUACGUUCCCGGGCCUU
Molecule: ribosomal RNA, 462 nt
Filed under: uncultured bacterium
Lineage: Bacteria
Description: bacterial SSU rRNA
Rfam family: Bacterial small subunit ribosomal RNA
Source: RNAcentral